This 393-nucleotide ribosomal RNA is filed under the name uncultured bacterium. RNAcentral describes it as "bacterial SSU rRNA". It matches the Rfam family "Bacterial small subunit ribosomal RNA", at positions 997 to 1393 of the family's 1533-position model. The record is from RNAcentral.
GUAUGUAAUGUACUCUCUCUUCGGAGCAUCGGUGACAGGUGGUGCAUGGUUGUCGUCAGCUCGUGUCGUGAGAUGUUGGGUUAAGUCCCGCAACGAGCGCAACCCCUGUUCUUAGUAGCCAGCAUUUUGGAUGGGCACUCUAGGGAGACUGCCAGGGAUAACCUGGAGGAAGGCGGGGAUGACGUCAAAUCAUCAUGCCCCUUAUGACUUGGGCUACACACGUGCUACAAUGGCGUAAACAAAGGGAAGCGGAGCCGCGAGGCCGAGCAAAUCUCAAAAAUAACGUCUCAGUUCGGACUGUAGUCUGCAACCCGACUACACGAAGCUGGAAUCGCUAGUAAUCGCAGAUCAGAAUGCUGCGGUGAAUACGUUCCCGGGUCUUGUACACACCGA